Molecule: ribosomal RNA, 517 nt
Filed under: uncultured bacterium
Lineage: Bacteria
Description: bacterial SSU rRNA
Rfam family: Bacterial small subunit ribosomal RNA
Source: RNAcentral
CUACGUGCCAGCAGCCGCGGUAAUACGUAGGGUGCGAGCGUUAAUCGGAAUUACUGGGCGUAAAGCGAGCGCAGACGGUUACUUAAGCAGGAUGUGAAAUCCCCGGGCUCAACCUGGGAACUGCGUUCUGAACUGGGUGACUAGAGUGUGUCAGAGGGAGGUAGAAUUCCACGUGUAGCAGUGAAAUGCGUAGAGAUGUGGAGGAAUACCGAUGGCGAAGGCAGCCUCCUGGGAUAACACUGACGUUCAUGCUCGAAAGCGUGGGUAGCAAACAGGAUUAGAUACCCUGGUAGUCCACGCCCUAAACGAUGUCAAUUAGCUGUUGGGCAACUUGAUUGCUUAGUAGCGUAGCUAACGCGUGAAAUUGACCGCCUGGGGAGUACGGUCGCAAGAUUAAAACUCAAAGGAAUUGACGGGGACCCGCACAAGCGGUGGAGCAUGUGGUUUAAUUCGAAGCAACGCGAAGAACCUUACCAGGUCUUGACAUCCCUCUGACCGCUCUAGAGAUAGAGCUUUC